RNAcentral lists this ribosomal RNA (376 nucleotides) under uncultured bacterium. RNAcentral describes it as "bacterial SSU rRNA". It matches the Rfam family "Bacterial small subunit ribosomal RNA", at positions 524 to 898 of the family's 1533-position model. The record is from RNAcentral.
UACGUAGGUGGCAAGCGUUGUCCGGAUUUACUGGGCGUAAAGGGAGCGUAGGCGGAUACUUAAGUGGGAUGUGAAAUACCUGGGCUCAACCUGGGUGCUGCAUUCCAAACUGGGUGUCUAGAGUGUUGGAGAGGAAAGUGGAAUUCCUAGUGUAGCGGUGAAAUGCGUAGAGAUUAGGAAGAACACCAGUGGCGAAGGCGACUUUCUGGACAAUAACUGACGCUGAGGCUCGAAAGCGUGGGGAGCAAACAGGAUUAGAUACCCUGGUAGUCCACGCCGUAAACGAUGGGUGCUAGGUGUAGGAGGUAUCGACUCCUCCUGUGCCGCCGUUAACGCGAUAAGUACCCCGCCUGGGGAGUACGGUCGCAAGAUUAAA